UCACGCCCUCACUCUCACCCUCAUUCUUUUCUUUUCUUCUCUCUGAGUUCCAUCUUCCAUGCCUCCCUCUUCUAUACUUGGCCCUCUUCAUCAUGCUUUUUAAAAAAAAAUAGAUUAACAAAAAUCUAAGAGUGUUUAUUGUGUGGAUUUUGUUAAUUUUUGCGUUUUUAUUUUUUAUUUUAAAUUGUGAGUUGUUUCUUUUUUGCUCUAAUGUAAGUCUUCGUCGCCGGCGACGUAGAGAACGCAUUCUCUACACAAACGGUGCUAGAGACUCCAUCUCCGCCGCCGAUCUAUAGCGGAGGAUUCUCUGAUUUCUCGCCGGAGCAGAACGAAAAGGACUUUGAUGGAGGUUUUGGCGGAUCGGACGGCCCGAUCUUGCCUCCGCCGUCGGAGAUGCAGUCGGAGGAGGGCUUUGCUCUGAGAGAGUGGCGCCGUCUCUUUCUUUGUUAUCACUCAUUCCCCUAAAGCAACACGCCAUCAUUACAAAGAUCAGCCAUCUUUCACUCACUUAUGAAACUGUUGUUAAGUUUCACUCAGUUCCAGUGAAUCUUCCAUCAGAUCUCUGCACUCUUCAGUGGUAUGGCUGUGAUCCUUAUGAAACCGACAGUACUUCUUUUAAGCUCAUCUGUGUGGCCAUGAAGUCAAAGGUUUCAACCACUUCAAGUUUGGAACAUCCUUGAUCUGCAGCAAAACUUUUUCCAUGGGUAUAUUCAAAGGGGUGAAAUUUACCAUUUUCUUCAAGAGGCUUAAGCUUACCUAUUCACUCUUUUUACUAGGGGAGCGAUCCUUUUUUUUUGGUGCCGAGACUUAUCAAGGUCAUUUAUCUUUUGCUUGCCAUCUAUGCCCUUUGUCAUCAAUGCAUCUACUCUAUUCAUGUACUUCUGAGUUUUGAACUGGAGAUCUGUCAUCGUCGUUAAUGGAGUCCUGGCCAAGGAGAAGAUGAAAUUUUUAGUCGUCAACCCAAGUAGAAGUCCAUCAGUUGGACUUGGUUAUCCACUUCAUCUAUUUCCAGAAUUUCUCAAUUGAAACACUUCACAUAGGCUCUUAGGGUUUCUCCUUAUUGCUGUUUUACCAUUAGUAGAUGGGAAGUCAGCCUUUUGUGCCUCUGAGCCCUGAUGAAAUGUCGACCAAUUGAAUCACUUAAUUGGUCGAAGUUUGCUAUUGAUGACAACUCUAGAUUGCUAAACCAAGCUCGAGCGGCUCCUUUAAGGUUGUUGGGAAUGAUAUGCACAUUACUUCAUUAGCUUUAUUUUGAAGUUUUAGUAGUGUCUUGAAGGAUCUUAUAUGAUCUAACAAGUUUGUACCCCCGUCAUAAGAUUCCAAUUGAGGGAGCUUGAACUUUGGUGGGAGUAGGCAUUCUAGGACUUCUCUGGUGAAUGGUGAACCCAUUCUUUUGAUCAUCCCAUCUAAGCUUUUGGUGGAUUUCCCUUUUUGAGCAUUCUUAAUUCAUCCAUUUCUUUCCUCAUGUCUUUUAAGAGCUCAUUGUUAUUACGGUUGGGCUACUCUGUCCGUCUAGAAUUGGAUCGCUCCAUUUGUUGGGAACUUUCUUCUAUAUCGCUAGUUGGUGGUCAUCAUUAUUGUUUCAAUUAUGAUGUCGUGGAUUGGGCAUGUUGCUAUUCUCAUGGGAGAGGUGCUACCUUAACUCCUCAUUCUACUUGGUCAAUUCAUCAACACUUUCUGCUAGUGUUUGAAGCUAUUAGGUCAUUUGCAUUGGAUCAAGUGGGGUUGAUGAACUUGGAUCCAUUUCGUUUGAAUGGUAGAGUUAUGAAAAUUUGUAUGAUUCAGAUCUACGUUCCCCACAAACGACGCCAAAAUAAUGAAGCCAGAAAUGGAUGUUAGUCGAUAGCCUUGUCAAAGCUUAUGACGAGGUCAUGUUCCCUACAAAGAUGAGAGAGAAAAACACCUGACUGGCAUUAGCCAAAUGUUCUCCGAUGAUUAAGUUAGUAGAGUUCUUAAUAUCUCUCAAAGAAUAAAAAUAUAAUUCUGUAUGUUUAGAAUUGUGAACCUUGUUGCUAAUGUUUGGUGGCUUAUUCAUAGCCUUGAUAUAGCCAUUGGGAUCCUCAUUAUUAGUGUAA
Molecule: long non-coding RNA, 2075 nt
Organism: Quercus robur (English oak)
Lineage: Eukaryota; Viridiplantae; Streptophyta; Magnoliopsida; Fagales; Fagaceae
Exons: 4
Source: RefSeq, a predicted model, not a curated record